RNAcentral lists this long non-coding RNA (31770 nucleotides) under Coffea arabica (coffee). Its description in RNAcentral is "long non-coding RNA (CARA_LNC005173)". The record is from RNAcentral. Lineage: Eukaryota; Viridiplantae; Streptophyta; Magnoliopsida; Gentianales; Rubiaceae.
UUUUUUUUUUUUUUUUUUUUACAGUUUACCCUUAUAUAUAAUAGGGUAUUUUUGUCAUUUCAUUUACCUACAUUAGUUUUGAUAAUUUCCGUUGCUUUUCAGCUUAAUUUAAAUUAUGAAGUGUUAUAUUAUAUGUUUUGAAACUACAAUGGGAUUUCCUAUAUAUUCACUUAACCACUAUUGAUAAUUUUUUUUUUUUUUUUGGCUUUUCCCUAUAUUCACUUAAUUUGUACGUACUAGACGUGUUUCCAACUCAAAUGAGAGGGACAGUAGUCAGUCACUAAAUUGUAAAUUCUUUGGGUCUACUCCCAAGUCUCCUAUUUUCAGAACAGAUGGAUGUUCAUCGAAUUAUAUAGAUAUUCUUUCAACACAACAUGGGUCAACGAAAAAGAUUUUGAAAAUCUACCAAACUACGAAAAAGCUAUGAUCUUUUGGAAAAUGGGCUCCUAUUAGUGCAUAACCACAUUAAUAAAUUCAUACUAACCCAUCAAUUUGGGAUCUAAUUCAAUUAGUAUGGAAUAAUAUUGAUUCAUAUAGAAGGAAAAAAAAUAUCUAUUCAUUCAAACAUUGUACCUAUAUCUAUGGGAUAGGGAUAGAAAAAGAGGAAAUGUCGAAAAUUUCACAUCAUACUUCUGAUCGAAAAAUCAAUUUGACCUAUUUUCAUGCUCAUUGUUCAAUGAGAAACGGGUCAAAUUAUACAAGAUCAAGCCUAUAAAGCUUAAGGAGUGAUAUAUAUAUCUAUAAAGAGAGGAUUUAUUAAAUUUAAAUAAAAAUGAAGUAGAAGAACCUCGAUUCCAAAUGAAUAAAAUCAAAAUUGAAAAUGAUCUUUUUGAUUCUCUUGAAGAAUGAGGGGCAAAGAUCUUUUUACUGACGGAAAUUAAACCAAGCUAAUUUAGUAAUUUAAUUAUCAUUUAGUUACUUAGUUUGGAUGAUUGUAAAAAUUAUAAUUAUGGAAGAUGCACGGGAUCAUAGCUCGUGCUAAGUAGAGGUGGCAAAUCAACCCACUUAACUAAAUUUACCCAUACUCGCCCAUGAAUAGAUGGGUAUGGGUAUCUUAAAUUUUUGUAUAUGGGUAUAAAUGGGUUACCCAAUAAUACCCAUUUAUUUAAAUGGGUAUUAUUGGGUAACCCAUCAAACCCAAUGAACCCAUUUAGAAUUUUCUUCCCCCCAAGUCUCUUAUUUUCCCCCACUUUUUUUUUUUCAAAUUUUUCAUUUUGUCAUGAUGUUAACUAUUUUUGUUUCAUUAUUAUUAUUAUUAUUAUUUGUUGGUUUUAUCUUAUUAUUUUAUUUUCUCUUAAUUUGUUAACUUACUCAUUUUUUAGCAUUACCAAUUUAUGAUAAAUUUUAGCCUAUUUUCUUAUCUUUAUAAAAUGAAAUUUUAAAUUUAUCUAUGAAAAAAAUGUUAGGGGUUCAAAAUUUUUGGAUUAAGUUUUUAUAUUAAUUUUUAUAGUACUUAGUUCAAAUUUUUAUAUUCUUAUUAUUCAAUUAUUAAAUAAUAGGUAAUUUUGUGACAUAGAGUAUAAAUGAAAAAAAAUUGGUAAUUAAGUUUAUUGAACAAUAUAAGUAAAUAUUUAAAACUAAUGAUGGGUACAAAGAGUGGUAUAAAUUGAUAACUUAGUUUGCAAAAAUGAAUUUAAAUGAGUUUGCAAAAAGUUAAAAUAAAUGGGUUAUAAAUGGGUAAUUAUGUUACCCAAUUCAUUUUGUGACUUACCCAUUUAUACCCAUCUAAUUAAAUGGAUAUAAAUGAGUUGACUCACUUAUAUCCAUUACUCAUUUUACCCAACCCAAACCCGCCCAAGUCACCCAUUUUGACACCUCUAGUGCUAAGUAAGGCUUUCUUUAUUUCUUUGUCGGGUGUCCAAGAGUCCCGACCCGAACUGAUUUGGUUGGCAAGUGCGGGUUCCUUGCAGUGUAGGUUGUCUAGUCCUAUUAGUAAGUAUUUGGUUUUGCAACUUUCCUUUCUAGGAGUGGUUUAAGUCAGUCAAGAAUACUAGUUGAUUUAGGUUUGGUCUCGAGUCUUUCUAUAUAUACCAACAGUGGUGCUAGGUUAUUACUCGGAAGAGUUAGAGUCUUGAGAAUAGCUUUAAGAGAAAAUCUCAUAAUUGAGAUUCGUGAAUUGUGGUAAGUGCAAUGGCUUGAUAUUUGUUAUUGUUUAAUUUCGAGUUAAUUAAAUUAGUGAGUAUUUGUUCUCCUCCUCUUCCCACGUAUUUUUAUGUGUUAGAAUUGAGUACAAUGAAAAUUAAGUACAAUGAUCCGAGUAUUAAGAGAGAAUAUUGAUGGAGCAAUUUUGAAAUUGUCUUAAUUAAGAUGAAUGCUGCGUGGUUGACGACGUGAAUUAUUACAUACUAUUAAUAAUUUAUGGAAAUUUGGGUUUUAUUCUUACAGUCUGGAGAUUAUCCUAAGCAGUAAGUAAAACGGAUUAGGUUAAACAGGAGUAUGUAUCACAUCUUUCUUUAAAUUCUCCAACAUUGAUGUCUUUUCAACUAAAAUUCCACUGGUUUUUACAUUCUCCCUUCCUCUUUCUUGUCUUUUUCUAGGGCGCACUUUUCCAAGACCUGAGUAGUAUUUUAUUCUGUCUGCGGCUGUUUGAAUUUCGCUUCAGUUGCGGGAAAAUCUUACGUAAGAAAAAGAACAGUAUUUUGCGAGGGAAAGCCAGAUACCAACGUUAACCUUAACCAUGUGAGAUGGGAACGAGAUACCAAAAUUUCGUGGAUACUAUCUUUAAUUAUAAGGUAUGAAUUUUCCCAGAAGAAUCCCGUCAGACUUAUUGUGUUUAUUGACAAUCGAAUUUUUUCGUAUAUUGAUUAAUUCCAAAUUGGGGUUUCUAAAUUCGAAUUAGAUGAACUUGCCGUAAACCCUAUUUUAUUUCCUUGAUCAAUUAGGAAAAUUUUUGGUACUUUUAAAUUGUCGGACUUUUGGUUACGGGUCAGUUGGGAAUUAGGAAGGUAAUUAAUUAGGGAAAAAAAAGGAAAUAAAUUACAUUGAAUCAGCUUCAUCGUGGAACUAAUUUGGCAUAUUUAAGUUAAUCUGUGCAAUGUUGAAUGAUUUUUAGGGGUGUCAUUCGAACCCGGAGAUGUUAUCCACUCAAUUCCAGAAUUUGGUCCCCCAUCCGGCGUUUGAUGCUCAUCCACUUAAUAAAGCUUCUAGCAUUUAUCAGUCUUCACAAAUAGCUGCGCCUGGGCUUGGGUGGAUGCCUGAUUUUCACAGUAUAAGUUCACAGUAUGGCGACUUGAUGACUACGGGUAUCGACCAUAACGGUACCGGCUAUGUAUAUCAUGACUAUUUGCCUCAAGGUACUCUUUUAGCUGCAUGGAUGUAGAACUUAGUGGAUAUGUGUGCUUGUGCAUCCCUACUUUGUCUCAUGACAAUUAUUGCAAAUGCAGGUUUUUCUUUCAGUAACCAGGGUGCUAGCUCUAGAUUUAUUGCAUCUGACGGGAAUAACAUGUUUACUUCUCUCGGAAAAAACCCAAUUUCUGCUGAGGUCAUUACUUCUCCGGAGCAUAUAGUUCUUAUUAAUGAAGGUUAUCGAUUCAACAACCAGGAUAUUGCCUGUAGAUUUAUCGCGCCUGAUGGAGAUAACAUGUUUUCACCUUUGGGAAAACUGUCAAUUUCUCCUGAGAUCAUUACUUCUCCAGAGCAGAUCUCUUCAAUCACGGCAUGCUCGGAUGUGGACCUGCAUUCUGAUGGUGAAUACUGUGAUGGAGGAUCAACUUUUCCUUCCAUCAGAUUAAACUACUUAUCGAAGCCAUCAUCGCAAAGUUGCAAUCCGGUGCAACAAGGUAAUCAGGGUAUUGUUUUGGUUGUCCAAAUUUAAACUAUGAACUAUGGCCACAUGUGCAGGUUUGGUUGGUCUUUUUUUGAUAUGUCUGAACAGAGAUGGUUAUGAAAGACGUCAUUAUGUGAUGAUACUGCUGCUCAAUAAAUUCUUGUACUGACUAACUAGAAGAUAUAAUGGAACAAGAGAUGCACAUGUGAGAAAAUUGAGAGUUGAGAGUUGAAAAAUGUGUCACUCUAUGUAAAGCUAGGUUUAAAAAGAUCCAUUCAUUUCGAGAAAGUAGAUAGGAGGACCUAAUGCCUCUGUUGAAUUGAUAUGCACGAUCAAUCACUAUGAACAUAUUCUUUAUCAGCCUUUACCUCCAACAUUUAUUGUUUAUUACAUUCUGUAUUGCUUCUUAGUACAUAUUGUUUUCUUAUACGUUGCCUUGUGAUAAUUGUUCUCUUGUAGGGGAGUUGGACUUAGAAGAUCAGAGACUUAUGGAGGCCAAUCAGAAUGUUUAUCAUGAGGUUCUUCCUAUACCAUCUGUUCAACAUGGGCAGAUACCUUAUCCAAACACAUGCAUUUUGGAACAGGUUUUUGAUAGGAUUCCUCAGGGGUCCAAUUCUCUUGCCAGUCAGAUUGCUGGUAAUGCAAUAUCAACUCAUGAAGACUUGUUGCAAGAUCAACUUCCACAAUUGAAUCAAUUGCCUGGACAAUUGCAGUUUGAUGAGCUGUCUAAGGCCCUCAUCAGGGAGGUUGAUUCAGAAAGCCAGUGUGACAAUUAUACCUCUAACGAAAGGUCCUUGAAGCUGAGCCAAUUUUCUGUAGAGCAAGAAUGUCAUAGCCAGCAACAACAGCCAUCUAUUUUGCAACAAAUUGGAGUAUCAAAGAUUGCAGAUUCAACUAAUUUGUCGAUUCAGGACAUUCUUCUUCAGUAUAUUCACCACAGUAAUGAUGUUCAGAAUAAAGGGAAGAACCAAGCUACCUUUUUGAAGAAAUUGCAUGACAUGCGAUGCCAGGACAAAGACUGCAAGUGUGACAGGGACCGCGCACUUAUUUGCCAUUAUGAAAACUGUAGCUACCUUUUUUGUAGCAUUUGCAAGCCUGUCCGAGAGUUGUGUUCUGCUGAUAGAGUUCAGUCAGGGUUGGGAGAUUUAAGAUCUGAUCCAUUGAUGGCUGUCCAUGGUAGAGAGUGUUCUGGCUCUGGCACUUAUAUAGGUGAAGUUGCUCUACCUCCUCCCAAACGCAAGAGGUUGGAGGAUUGCUUUUUGUCUGGGAACGUUUCUUCUUCUCCGGAUGCUGAUUCAGUUGAUGAAUCUUUCAAAUCUGGAGGGACUUCACAGUGCAAAAGCUGGUCUGAAAGUCCUCUGUGUAAUAAUGAAAAUCAAGAAGUUACAAAAAUGGAAGACUUAUGCUUUCAUGAGAAUCCCAUUCCAGAUAUGAAAAGAGAGAAGUUACACUCUUCAGAAGACACAGCUUUUGUAACAUCAAAUCAUAACCCUGAAAAUAGUCAAGGAGUGGCAUAUGGUGAUGGGCCCUUUCUUUGUGGAAAGCUCAAUUAUGGGACUAGCAAAUCUGGUGAUUUGAAGUCUGACAUUCUACCUGUUCUUGAGGAGCCAAACGUUGUCCAAGAAAAGGGGGGGAUACAUUAUUUGUCCAAGCCUACCCAACCUGAAUCAAAAGCUAAAGCAGACUCAAGAGAAGCUGCAACUGAUAAUCAAUCAGGGACCAGUUUGGAGGAUGUGAAGAAGCUACCUGUGUCAUUGGUUGACUUUCUCAGUUCUGUGGAAAUAAAUGAACAUAUAUGCAGUCUCAGUCAAUCAGUGGCUCAGGUUUGUGCAACAUACCCAUUAGAUUAACAUUUUAGUUUGAAAGCUGCAGUAGAGGCUGCUGCGACAUUUGUUUUGUUUUUGUUGCCUGUUCUUGUUUUUGUGAUUACCUUUUGUGUCAUGUAGAUGUUUCGAACUUGUCCUUGCAUUUUCUCCUGUGCAGGUCAAAUAUUUCUAGUGCUAUUAAUUCAAGUAAAUCAUCUUUCCAUGAUGAAUAUCAUAGCUUUUUUUGUUUUUCUAAUAGGGCAUUACAACGGAGUCAAAAGAAAACCUCAUGGAAAGUUGUGUUGCCGAAAACAAGUGCCAGUUGUGCAACAUGGAUCAGCUUGUCUUUAGCCCAACACCUAUGUAUUGUUCAUCCUGCAAUCUUCGCAUCAAGCACAAUUUGAUAUAUUAUUGGACACUAGAUGAAAUGGGUUCUAGGCAUUGUUUCUGUACACGAUGCUUUAAGGAGUCCCGUGGCGGUAGUAUUACAUUACAACAGGGGAUGUCUGUAUCUAAGGCACUACUUCAGAAGGAAAGGAAUAAUGAGGAAAAUGAAGAAUCGGUUAGCUCACUCAUCUGUGUAGACUAUUUCUUUUUCCCCUCCCCUCUCAAUUAAAGUCUUUGUGUUCAAUGUCUAUGACAUCUCUUCUAUGUUCAGUGGGUGCAAUGUGACAAGUGUGGUUGCUGGCAACAUCAGAUCUGUGGUUUGUAUAAUGCCAAAAGAGAUGCAGAGGGAAAGGCCAAGUAUAUUUGUCCAUAUUGCCGCUUAAAAGAGAUUGAAAUUGGUGAGCAUGUGCCUCUACCUGCUGCUUUUGGGGCAAAAGAUCUUCCGCGUACAAAACUAAGUGAUCAUAUUGAGCAGAGACUGUUUGGGAAACUCAAGAGAGAAAGAGAAGAGAGGGCGAAGUUUCUGGGUAAAGAUCUUGAUGAGGUAAGUUAUCUAUAGAACUUGGUUGUAAACCAUUUUGUUGUUUUUUUUUCCUGGACGUGUGACAGUUGUUAAACAAAUUUUACUGUUUGAACUUGGCUAAUAGAAAGUCUAGUUCGAUAACAGGAUGAUUUAUGUACAAUAUCCACAUGUUGACAAACCAUUAAUGCUAACACUAUGGGGGAGAUCAGUAUCUUUCAUUAAUUUAGUAAAAUAUUGAGCUGAACUUUUUCUUACUGAAUUUCUUGAUUUAAGAUAAAUUAAACUUACCUACAACAUGUGACAAAUUGUCCAUGUUAGAGGUUUUGACUUUUUUUUCCCCUUGUGAAUUCUUAGAUGUAUGUUUUUCUUUUAAUCACUUGCGUACUACCAUAAUGUUGUCCCUUUGUGAAAUACUUGGUCGCUAGUGAAUUGGCACCCUUUUAAAAGGAAAAAAUAGCUGCUUGCUUAGCUGCAAAUUGUUUCUAGUUAGAAAGAUCUCAUCAUUUUGCAUUGCCAUCAUGAAAGGAAAAAGGAAGACUGGCUGAAAAAAAAUUAAUUGUGAAUUUGGAUAGCCUAUACUCUUCUAGUGCAAAAUCAUAGCAGUGUUAUUUGUUGUAUGAUAUACUUUUUGUGACUAGGUACCUGAAGCAGCAGAACUCGUUGUUCGUGUGGUCUUAUCUAUGAACAAACUUUUGCAAGUGAAGCAGCAAUUCUUGGAUAUUUUUCCUGAUGAAGAUUAUCCAGAAGAGUUCCCAUAUAAGUCCAGGGUAAGAGGUUGAGUUCUUAUCAGGAUAUGUAGCAGUACUUGUAACUCAUUAGUUUUUGAUAGUUUCAGUGUAAUUUUUGGUAAUUUUGCUUCUGUAAUUGGACUGUUUAGUGGAAUUGAUCUGAUCCUUGUUUAUACAAAUCUUAAACAUAAGCUAAUUGUCAAAAUGUAAUAUCAUAUAACAGUUAAAGUUGGCCCCAAUAAGACAAUGCCUUGCAACUAUAUUUCCUAUCAAUUGCUGCCUCUUAUGAAUAAUAUGUUGAUAUGUGCUAUGAAAUAGUAUUCAGAAUAGUAGGUGGGGGAAAGAAUUCAGAAAAGGGGAAAUGUCCAACUCAAUACUACAUCAGGAGUUUUAUAUUUCUUUUCUGGUUUCUAUUUUUUCUUACAUGGAGAUAUCCUGGAUGCUUAAUAUAUCCUUGGUGUACAGGUGAUCCUAUUGUUCCAGAAAAUUGAAGGCGUAGAUGUAUGUCUAUUUGGUAUGUAUGCCCAGGAGUUUGGAUCAGAAUGUGGUCAACCAAAUCAGCGCUGCCUCUAUAUCUCAUAUCUGGAUUCUGUCAAGUACUUUAGGCCUGAAAUAGAAACUGUUUCUGGUGAAGCUCUUCGCACCUUUGUAUAUCAAGAAAUUUUGGUACUUACUCUUUUCUGAAAUCACUCUCUUCUACUCCUCCUAGCUGUGUGAAAAUUUUCAUAUAUAUUACCUAUAUGCUGGUUUUAUGCUUUUCUUGGUCAUUGUUGCAGAUUGGUUAUCUUGAUUACUGCAAGAAACUGGGCUUUGCAACCUGCUAUAUAUGGGCUUGCCCACCAAUAAAAGGGGAGGAUUAUAUUCUGUACUGCCAUCCCGAGACUCAGAAAACGCCAAAGCCAGAAAAGUUGCGGCAGUGGUAUAUGUUUCUGACUCUGUUUUCUGCGACACUUCUUUUUUUCUUUUUUCUGUUUACAACUAUCUCAGAAAACCAUUUGACACACUCAUGCUUGCAAAUCAGUAUUGCUUGUCAUGCUACUGGAGAUCUUGGACUUGCAACCUAGUGGAUCUUUGUAUUUGGUUAGGUUCCUCCUUAGGCUCAAUACAUAGGUUCUUUUUCUGUGAUCUAUGACAUCACUCGUUUACUACAUAAAAACUGCCUUUCUAUGAGUUACAUCAACCUAGACCUUUGCAGUACACCAAUUACAGGAUCCUUGAGUGGCAGUUUUGAUCUCUUUAAGUUAUUCAGUGUGUAGUUGUUAACAAUGCCAUAAUUUGUUUGUGUGAUACCUUCUUUUACUUUGAAUAUCUAUUUGCAACUUCUUUUGUGCCUUUGCAUGCUUUACUAAUACUACAUUUGCAGGUACAAGUCAAUGCUUAAGAAAGCGGUGCAAGAGGGUAUCGUGGUGGAUUACACCAAUAUGUAUGAUCGUUCUUUUAUUUCAAAUGGGGAGUGCGGUACCAAGAUAACAGCAGCUCGUUUGCCAUAUUUUGAUGGAGACUAUUGGUCGGGGGCUGCUGAGGAGAUGAUAAUGGACAUGAGAAAGCCAAAAGGAGAAGCACGAGGGAAGGUCAAAAAUUUGACAAAGCGAUCUCUGAAAGCAAUGGGACUUGACAAUCUGACUGAUGAUGCAACAAAAGAUAUCCUGGUGAUGCAAAAGGUAAUUUCUGCUCAACAUGUUAAGGGUCCUUUAUUUGCAAGAAUGCAUUUUAUAGCAGUAUUUUGUUACCAUUUGCAUAGGUCUGGAUUCUGAUCUUCUGAUGAGCAUGACCUUGAUAUGUUGGGUCAACUAAACUGGCAACCCCUCAGUUUUGCCAAGCUAUAUAGACCUCACUUGAGUUUUUAAAACUUGCAAGGAGCUUAGGCAUGACUUUAACUCCAGAUUAACGCUCUAGUAUUACAACCAUGGCCCUUAUCAAAAGAAAAGGAUCAGAACCACCUAACAAAAAUAUGAAGGAAUAAAUUUCGUUAUAUAUGGCUAUUGUAAAUGUAUGCAAUUUACAUGCUUUUGGUUUCAAAUCUAUACCAAAAGAAGAAACAUAACUAUCAGUAAGCAGCUUGUCUAUCUAUAUGUGGUCCAUUAACUUUCUCCAUUUUGGACUUGAUUGAAAUUACAUCCUCUCAAGUUGCGAUUUGAAGGAGAACAAAACAUCCCUUGUACUGAAAAUGAAAGAAUAGAAUUAAAAAAAGGAGAGAAAAGCAUGUUAAUCAUUGCUUGGAUCCCUGUUGGAGCUGCUUAAUAGUCCCAAGCCCCUCUUCCAUCACCUCCUUGUUUAAUUACUUGCUUUUGUCACCGGUAUGCACUAGUAAGCAAUAUUUUGCAUGGUUAUAGUUUGAUAUGUGCUACUAUUCAUGGUUUUCGGAAUUAUAAUUACUUAUUAGCAUCAUUAACAUGGGAUAGUGAAUCCUGGCUGAAGCCAAAAGUAUUAAGUCAGCAACUUUCUUAUUUAUGUAAUUGAAUUAUUUAAUAUUGCUGUUUAAUCGUUCUCUUUUUCACUGACAGCUGGGCCAUACCAUCUUACCUUUGAAGGAAGACUUUCUAGUCGUCCACCUGCAGUUCACUUGCAAGAACUGUCAUAACUUAAUUCUAUCUGGUGCACAUUGGUUUUGUAACCAAUGCAAAAAUUAUUAUUUAUGUUCAAGGUGAUUAUCUAGUUCAAGUUUUUUGCUUAUUUUGUACUUCUGCCUCCUCCUCUUUGUUGUUCAUGAAUCUUUGUAUCUUAAAGAUUAUUAACCUACUUGAUUUUAUUUUAAUUACGUGUUUUUCUUCAUAUUGGUUUGUCUUUGGCUCAUGCUGUUGAUUGUUUCUUAUGGUAUUUACAAGCUUUGACUUGCACUUUAAGAUUAGCAAUUUUUUAUGGCUAUGUUUUAGGUCAAAAAUUGAUGUUUGAAUACAGAAUACUUAAUUGAAGGAUUCAUCUCAUCCUUUGUGGAAUAAGAAAAGGAAAAAGAAAGGAAGAAAAGGAUAAAGAAUGUGCUUUUUGCCAAUGCUCCAAGACAUUUUUCUAGUUUUUCAAGGGAAUUCUUUUCAGAAAAAAUUGGUGGACUUUUAACUGUUUGUUAGUUCAUGCGUGAAUCAACAAUAAAUUGUGGCAUUACUUAUUCGAUAUUGUAUAAACUGCAUUGAUUGUAAAAUUUUUUGACCAAGAUAACUUAUCAUUAAGUUGUUUGACCAAGGCAAUUGUUUGGAUGCAUGUUUUUAGGAAGAGUUUGCAAUAGCUUUUUUUUUUGGUAUAAUUGUGUGUAACAGAAAGGUGGUUGGAAAAUGUGUGGAGAGUUUUUCAGAAUAAGUUCUCCCCCAGACAAAAAUAUAAUAUGUGUAUAGAUAGCAUAAUAUGUGUAUAGAUAGCAUAAUAAUUCUAGUAGUAAAACUAGAAUCAUAAUAAUAAGUGUGUUCUUGUUUCUCGUGUUUAUUGCAGAUGCCUUCAAGUGGAGCAAACUCCUAAUGAGACAAAAACACAUACUUCCUCUGGCGGUGAAGAACAUUUCCUGUCACAGGUUAUUUCUUACCUCUGAAAUUGCAGGAAGAGAACUUUUUUUUUUUGUGCAUUAAAUUUACUGUCUAACCUCCUUUCUACAUUUUUACGUUGAAAACUUUAGCCUUCUCAAUAUGUUGUGUCUGUGGAUGCUUACUCUUUGCAGGUCACGGUUAAUGACAUACCUAUCGAUACUGCAGAGAGUGAUGUCAUUUUAGAUAAUGAUAUCUUUGAAAAUCGCCACUCUUUCCUGAGUUUCUGUCAGGGAAACCAUUACCAGUUUAAUACUCUUCGCCGUGCCAAGCACUCGUCAAUGAUGAUCUUGUAUGAUCUCCACAAGCAGAUGCCAUUUACUAUGGUGACAACCUGCAGUAUUUGCUUUAGAGAUAUCAUGAUUGGAGCAGGAUGGCAUUGUGAGAGUUGUCCUAGCUUUGACAUUUGUAUUACAUGCUACCAUAAAAGUGGCAAAGGUUGUCAUAACCACAAGUUGGUCCAGCAUUUGACUAAAAAUCAAGCACAGCGGAAGAAAGCAUUUCAGGUAUAUCUCUGAAGUUUCUAUUUUGAUGGUUUCUAAUUCUCUAGUUAUCAGCAUUUCAGGUAUAGCACAACUAGAAAAGAAUAGUGAACCCUCAGAGUGGCCUGGCAUAGGGAUGGCUGCCUUUGGGAUUUGGGUGAAACCUUCCUGCAAGUUAGCCCAAACACCUAAUAUCUCGCUGGUAGAGUUUGUUGCCUAUUGCACAUGCCAGUAUACCAGCUGCAUACCCAAAGUGUAGUGGCUGAGGGUUUACCACUAUAUGUUAAAAAAAAAAAAGAAUGAAAAAAAGAAAAGAGAGUAGGUAUCUGUGUAUUUUAUAAUGAAACUAAACAAGUUUCUAACUUUGCUUAGGUCCAUUUUGUUGAUUUGGAGAAAUAAUAUCGUUCUUUAUCGAUUCAUGUACAUGGUGCAGGUGGAAGUUCUAAAUGCAUUAGAUCAAGCCUCUCAAUGUCAUGUGACAAGAAGCAGCCCUUGCUCACACCCUCGGUGUCUUCAAGUUAGAAAGCUUUUUCAUCACUCAAGUCAAUGCAAAAUUCGGCAUGCAGGGGGUUGUCAGUACUGUUGGAAAGUAUGGUUCAUGAUACGUACACACUCAAGGGUGUGCAAGGAUUCCAGGUGCCCAGUGCCACGAUGCAUGUACGUUACAUUUGCUAUAUGCUAUAUGGUGCAGCCUAUACUUUCUUGCUUCUAAGUUGCAACUUUUUUUGACCCACAUUUCUCAUUAUCCAGGGAUGUUAAAGAGCAAACUGAAAUGUGGUCAAGGAAGUCAGAGAUGCGCAGAAGGGCUGCAGUCAAAAGUUUAAAACUGCUUGAGGUUUCAUGCGACAGUUGAUUGCCUGAUGUACAUGUGGCAGAAUCAUCUUACUUAUAAAACAGUUCAAAGGCCGUAACAGGACUUUUUUGUGUAGUGAUAAACAGAAACUAGGUUUCAAGAAUCUGGUCCAUUAUUGGUUGACAAAGCUGCUCCCUGUCAUGGGUGGAUAAGAGUCACAUUAGCUUGCAGACUAUGCUCAGAAAUUCUUGGGCAAUUUUGCUUACAGAUAAACGAGAGGAAACUGUAUAUAACAUAGAUUAGGAUAUCAUAGGUAACAAUCUUCUAAUAAUUAAACUUACCUGUAAAAAGUGAUCCAGAACAAAGUAGUUUCAGCUUGAGUCCGAUAUGGCCUGAUAAAGUAGGUUCACAUUUGUAUUUGUAUAAUUCUGUUAGCUUUCUCGGCUGUCUAGUUCUUCUUCUAUCUAGUGGCAUCAUCGAGAUGAUUCUGGAUGUAUGGGUAUUUGAUGUAUUAAAGUUUUAUUUUUUCUUUUUUGAACACAGAUUGCAGCAGAAGCUGUAUGUAUGCAUGAUUUCUUCAAAUAAAGAUAAAAGAUUAUCUUAGGUCUCCUUCCCAUAUUCGGGAAUAAGAAUUUGACUUUAUUUGUUUAUCAUGGUUUUGUUAUGGCGAUGAAUAGUUAUACCCCUAAAAGGAAAAUCGCUGGCUGUUCAUUAUCUGCUUGAUGUUGCCAUCUGAAUCGGCCUUGAGUCAUUAAAAAAUACAAAGUGAAAUAACUUUAAAUAAUUUGUGCUCACACCACAAACACAAUCAGUCGAGACUCUAAUUAAGAAAAAGUAUUACAACUACACUUUUCGGAUGGUCAAGCUGGAUCUGAUUUUCCUUUCUUUAUUAUCUUUUUAUUACUCUUUUUCAAGUAUGAAAAUGUGCUAAAACGUUCAUUUGAUCUAGAUAAAUGUGUCUCUCCUCUAGUCUCUUACACAAUUCAAUUGGUUUCUCUUUCCUUGUAAAAAUAGGAUAGUAUAGAAUUAGGAGUGUCAGAGAAUCAAUCAAAUUAAUAACCCGACAAAACAUGCUUGCUUCCAUCGUCAGUCUCACUACCUCUCAUUUCACUUUAGAAACCCUCUUUUUCACUGUCUAUUUUUUUUAGAUCAUCUCACCUAAAUUGAGUGUUCGAUUGAGUUCAAGAUCGAGUUUAAAUAUGCUUGAGUUAAAAAAAUGCAUGUUCAAUAAGUUCGAACUCGAGUACAUACCUAUCGAGGAUCGAGUUCGAGUUCAAGUAAAGUGACGUUCGAGGUCGAACCGAUAGAUUACACCGUUGCUGAUUGACCGGAAAAAAAAAUAUAUAUGAACAUGUGCUUAUCACUACACGCAUGAAUGUGAAACGGUUAUAAGUUGGGUUUAGACGAAGCUCCUCUUUCUCAUUCGGGAGAAUCGGGACAACAGCAACACAGCAAUUUAUUACUACUAUUUUGGGAAUUUGGUUGUUUGAACUCGAAAAGUUAAUGUUAGCAGACCAGGAAAAAAAAAUAUAUAUAUAUAUAUAUAUAUUUUUUUUUUGGUGCGCAUGCGCGGCUUUACACUCCUAUACCUUGAGAUUCACCAAAUUCUUACUAGAUUCUUAAGUUUCGCUAGAGGGGCUUUGAGGAGGUGAAAAGACAAAUAGAUAAAAAGUCCCUGGAAUCCGUCCAGAAUGUCCAGCACCAACCAUUGACACCAGAACAUAAAUUGUACCAAGGACCAGAAUAAAUACGAGAACAGAGCAUCCUUGGCAUUGAGAAGUCUAUUUGAUGGUGAAGGCUGAAGCUUGGAUCUUCAACCAAAGUUCAUCAAACUUUCAAAGGAAAACAUUCUAAUCUUUCUCCAUUUCUCCUCUCCCUAUCCUUCCAUCCAGACGAGUGGCAGCUAUUGUUAGAUGUAGAAGAAAACCCAAUGGUUUUUGGUUGCAGAAAAAUGAGCUUAUUUCAUAUAUGAACGAAUCAGCCUUAGCUCUGUAUCAUCUUUUGCCUUUCCAGGAGUCUGGUAGGGAACAAUAUCACAGUCAAUGAGCAUGUAAAUGGCUACAUAGCCUAAAUGCUCUGUGCAGCAGUUCAUGGUAAAAAAUGGACAAAUUUGAAUUUAGAUGAUUAGGACUAGAUGUUGAACACUAUUUUCAAAAAGUGAUAAAAUUUGUCAUGUUUUUGCAAUUUGUUCUUUUAUUGUCAACAUUUGUUGCUUUAACGUCUAACAGUAUCUAUUGUGCUAGCUCUUGAGCUGCCCAAGUAUAUAGUGUCAUAACUAGAAGAGAGAUGCCCGAUACAGGUGCCACGAAAAUGCUACUGCAGAAAAAAACAAACCCUAUACCACCUGUACAAUCAAGAACAUAUAAUAGUUUUGGGACGAUGCAAAUUUUUGGCUGUGGGAGGCCAAUUCGCUCCAAAUAGAUGGCAAGAUCUAAUUUACGACCACCAAAUAUUUAGGAGUCCAUCUACACAUUUGGGUCCUCGAUAGGCGCAAGUAUCAUAAAGGUUACGUAUCAAAAAGUACAAAAGUGAGACGGGCCUAAGCAAGCCUUUGACACAAACAAUUAAGUAAAUCAUGAAAUCAGAGUUAAGAAACACCAGUUCACUGUUUGUAUAUAGUGGCCAUGAUCACUACAGUUAUCGACAUUUCAAUUGUCAAUCAAUAGAGGCCCCCACAUCCCUAAUAAUAACAAAAGGGCAAAACCAAAAUACUCUCAUCUAAAUUGGCUGUCGUCAUUGACUAACCUCCUAAAAUAAUGCACACUACUACUACUACUACACAAAAGAGACCUCUAGGCAGCAAAAGUAGAGAACUCCUAGGGAACAUUUAGGGCAUGCACUGUCAUGUUGUAAGGAAAUUCCACACUUUCUUCGCAACGGAUACUUCACCAGGGUGAUCAAACUCGUCCACCUCAUCAUCCUCUUCGUAUUCGAGAGGUUGACCUUUGUUCUCCACAUAUCUGUCCUCUCUCGCCCUUUCUGGGGUCCCAUUUACCUCAUCCCUCGUAUCAAACUCAACUUCAACAGUGUCACUGACACCAUCUUGAGCAACUGUUGCAUCUUUUAACUGUCACAAGAGGGUAGAAAUGGAUCAGUGUUAGCAAUAAACGUAACUACAAACUGCAUGUGAUCCUCCACAUGAUCAAAUCGAUUUUCAUCAGGGUUCCUCAAUACCCCUCUUACCAUUGCUACAAGAAACAUAUUGAAAGAAAAAUGAUGGAGAGCCUGGACAAGUGCCUACAGAAGAAGGUGUGCAUAGAAAAGUAUAAACAAAAUCCUUAUCAUUCAGUUCCCUACUCCAGAAGGGAUUAGGGCUGCCAAUUUCCAUUUUCUCUAAAGCCUAUCGGCACUCCAAACAUUUCCGGCAUCAACACCAAACAGAAUUUCCAGUUCAUGGCAAACCAUCUCAAGGCUUCAAAUACAUAAUCUAAUGCUCAGCAAGAGUAAUGGGUCACGCGCACACGUGUGUGUGUGUGUGUGAGAGAGAGAGAGAGAGAGGGGGGUACCAUAACAGGACUGUCUGCUGAAAACUCAUGGGCAGUAGGGAUGCUUUUUAUCUCACCACCAUCUCCUUUAGCACCCUCAGAAGCAGAGCCUGCAGCAUCAGAAUCUCGAAUUUCUUCCACCGAAAUCCCAGCAACUUCAACAUUAUUGGAACGUGUGGCUUUAGAACCAGUUAUUUGUUCUACAUGACUACUAUGUCCACCAAUUUCUCUAUCUUUCUCCUUGCUGGGAUCAGACAAGACUCCAUUAGCAGCUGCUGCAGCUGCACUGGACCACAACAAAUGCCUUUUCAGUAUUUAAGAUUGAUGGUUGAAGGAUGAAACAAAAGGCAGGGGAUGGGGUGUAACACAAUGCAUGUGAAAUAAGAAAGAUGGCAAAGAGAUGUUAUUUGUCAUUAAAUUAAACUCGUGAAUGAAAACUGGUGGUCCAAAAAACAGGAUCUGGAAUUCCUGUAGCAUCUGGAGUCUAAUUUAGUUUUCAAAAGGUCACAAACCAGACACAAAUAAAUACUAUACGUUCAAAUAAAGCAACAUACCUUCUAGGUCGCCGGAGAUUGUAUCGUUUUUCACCAAGAGUUUGAACAGGUGGUGCUACUCUUCGUCUCCUUUUCCGGUGCCCUUCACCGGUGACGCUACCAGAAUAUCCACUAUAUUCACCAUCAUGCUCGCUGGGGGUUGCUUGUGAUGUUUGUGUGAGGUUUCUCUUUCUUCCGUUUACCGCUGCUCCUGAUUCUCCACGACUUUCUUCGUUAACAAAAAUAUUGCCAUUAACACGCUGACCAUCGCUCUCAACAAAAGCAUCCUCAUCAAUAACCCUGCGGCGGUCUGCAACAGACACCUUCCCAGACCCUUCUCUAUUAAUUUUAGGCCUCCCUCUCUUACCAUGUCUCCUCUUCUGUACCUUUGGAUUAGAAUGCUGGGACCUACGGUCAUUAACUGAUGGAUCUGGACCAGCUUCGAACUCCCUGGUGCUGUUGUCAGACUGAAUUCUUUGGAUAUCAAGAGAAUCUUCUGCAACUCCAAAAGAAAUUUUCGGUUCAUUUUCACUGCUCGGCAAUGUUUUUCGUGAUUCUACAUUAACAAGACUCCCAGGCAAGGAAGCUCCGUCAGUCAGACCUCGAGCAGCAGUAAAUUCAAUCUUUUUGCCGGGCGAGAAUCUGAAUAUGCUUGAAGUACACUUUCGAAGCCAUGAUAUAGUCCCACCAGAAGCUGGGGAACCUAAUUCAACUGCGCUGGGGGAUAUCUCUAUAUUUUCUGUCUCAGAAUUGCCAUGAGCAGCCCCCCUCAAAUAAUUCUCAGCUAUUUUUGGCAGCACAGGUGCCUCUAGAUUGUUGAUCCCAUCCAAAGAUUGAAGAUCAGAUGUCACAAACUCACGAACUAAUUCUGCACAACUUUCGCAACUCUUCUGCUUGUCAACAAAAGCAACAAAUCUUUCUCUUUCUUUGACAAGUUGUUCUCUCUGAUCUUUCAACUUCUUACUAAGAACAACAAGCUCAUCAAUAUCCUUGCGCAUUUCACCAUGCUGCACCUCAAGCUGCUUCUUGUUUGCAAAAAUUUCCUGCUUUUCAUUCUCUAAGGCAUGUCUUUUGACCUUCAACUCUUCCAUUUCUUGAUGGAUUGCAUUCUUGAGAUUAUUGAUGUUGUUAAGUUCCCUUUCUCUGUCUUGUUCAAAAAAAUUCUUCAUCUCAUGCAGUUGAUUCUCCAUCUCUUCCUGCUUCUUCUGCAUAUCAGACUCAAGUUCCCUUUUCCGGAUUUCAAAAUCAUCCAGCAUUUUGCUUCUCUGACUUUCAGUUUUUUCAGCUAGUAUAGUCCUUUCAUGCUCCAUUGUGGCAGCAAAUGAAUGCCUAGCCACUUCAAGAGAUUCCAACUCUCUUCUAACAUAAUUCUCAGUUUCCAAUUUCUCAUUUUUCAACCUUUCCUCUUCAGCCCAUCUCAUUUUUUCAAAGUAGUUUUUCUGUUCGGCAAAAUCAGCAAGUUCUUUCUUAACCUCAGUUUGUUUCACAUCCAGCUCUUCCCAGUCUUUCUCAAAUCUUAAUCUUUCCUGCUUCAAAUCCUCAGCCUCCUUUAGCAGCAAUUCACUUUGGAGCCUACAUUUGUCUAUCUCUUGUUUGAGUUCUAACUGUAGCCGAGCAUGUUCAGAUCUUUCAUCUACAGUUACUUUCAGCUGCUCCAUUUCUUCACGAAUCUUCAAUUGCUGGUUUUCUAUAUCAGAUCUUGUUUUCUCAAGCUCAAUCUUGAGAACAAGCAAACUCUCUUUUUCAGCAAGAGUUUGCUUCCUCUCAGUCUCCAUGUCCUUUUCCUCAACUUUCAAGGACUUCUCCCUUUCUUUCAAAGCUUUUAACUUCAAUUCAAGUUCAUUCUCUCUCUCUCUCACUUUCUCUGAUUUCUUCUCCAAAGCCUGUUCUCUUUUCCUGAUUUUCUCUUCCAUGUGUUUAAGUUCAGCUUCCUUCUUGAGCACUUCAGCUGCCUUAUUUUCCAUGUCCAGAUACAAAGAUUUCCUUCUCUGUUCCAUCUCCAAUUCAAACUCCUUUUCCUUUGUAUCCAAGGUUGUCUUGUGUUCAUCUAACAGUUUCUGAAUUUCCACCUGAAGACACACCCAUGGUAAAAGAAAAAGUCAAAAGCAUGACUAUGGCAUACAUAAGAAAAUACUUUCCAGCAGGCAGUACCAAAAGAAGCAAGAGGAAGCAAAAUAAGGUCUACAAACAUUAUAAUUGCAUUAGAACCCUAAUCAUACUAGAUCAGUUUCUACAAUGGUCCAGGAAAAGAUUUAAUAAAGAAAACAACAGAGUUCAAAAUUUACAUGUUCCAAAACUGAACCAACUCCAAGGAUCAAUUUUGAAAGAGUAUUGAACAAACAAACAUGACUAAAAGCAUGAAAAGCUUUGGUGCUAAAAAUCACUAUCUAUUUACAAACUACUUAAACUACACAAAGCCACAGCAGUAAAACAAAGAUAAGAGUAUGUCCUACCAUCAAAUGUCUCAAUGUUAAACUGGCAAAGGCAAUCAGGUAAACAAAUAAACAAAGUACAAGUACUCACUUUCUCUCUCAUAUUUAGCUUUUCCUCUAGUUCAAUCAAUUGCUUCUCCUUCAAUUCCAAGCUAUUUCUCGUUGUAUCAGCUUCCUGCAACAAAGUAAACACAGAUAAAACAAAAAAGGACCAAUUAAGGAUUUAAGAGUAGGCAAGACGAGAAAGAAACUUACCUUCUCCAUCGAAGACAGACUUGCUUGGCGGCAGCUCAUGUCUUCCUCUUUUUCCUUCAGACUUAAAUUGGCUACAUCAACCUUCUUCUGCACAUCUUCAAGUUCUUUCUGUUUCUGCUUCCACAGAUUAUCAUACUCAUUUGCCCUCUUCUCUCUCUGAUGAAGCAACCUUCGAAGUUCAGCAAGUCUUUCUUCUCCCUCCUGUAACUUUUGUUCCCACUCUCGCAAGUCUUCCCUUUGUUUGGACAAAGAUGACUCAUGCAUGUCACGCCUGGAAAAAGAGGAGAAAUUAUCAGUGAGAAACAACAUAUUAUUGUCAACGUAAGGAAUUCACCAGUCAAUUAAGAGAACCCGAACAGAUUCACGAGACACAAAGAUAAAGGAAAUGAAGCAUUUGUAAACAGUGAAACAUACUCUGCAGCAAAUGAUGACCGCUCCCGUCGAAGUGCAAUUUCUUGAGCCACCAAUUCCUGAGACUUCCUUUCAAUUUCUGAACUCUUUCUGUUCACCUCAGCAAACUUGGCAUCUGUUGCAUGCAAUUUCGCUUCUACCUCCAAAGAUUUCUGUUCAAUGCUAGCAACCAAAGAUUCUGCUUCAGCCAAUUUUGAAUCAGCUGUGAAUUUAAUUUCAGCAUAUUCCGAACGCAUCUCGCGUAGGGCUUUCUCUAACUGCAGUAAUUAACAACCAACAAUAACCUUGACUAAGAAUAACCAUGUACUUAAAUGAAAGCAUAAACUUAAUAUCGCUUCCUAAUCUUUUGUAGUUAAGCAUGAAAAUAGGUGGUCAAAAAUGUAUAAAACUUCCCCAAAGUGUCGCCAAACUACUGAAAAAAGUGUCAAAGAAAAUAAUCUUCUGAAGGCAAAAAAAAUCAGCAUGGACUAGUAGAAAAUUCUUCAAAAAGGAAAGAAGAAGAUAUCAAUUACAAAUGAAAUAGCAAAGAAGAAAUCAUACAUCAAGCACACACUGCUUUUCAAUACCCAAUGCAUUCCUCAAAUUCUCUUCACGCUUCUCCACUUCAGUGAUGGCAAUGAAAUGUGCAGAUUUCUCUCUUUUAUAUGCAUCAUCCAAAUCUGCUAAAGCUCGCUUUAGUUCUUCAUACUUGCAAGUCCACUCCUUUUUUUCAAUCAAUAGGAGGCCCAUAUUGUACUGGUAUUCCAAAAGCUGUGAACAAAUCCACCAGUCAGGCCGAAAAAAAAAAAGGGUAUAUAACACAAUCAAGGUUCCUUUUUAAUCUCCCAGGACAGCCUAAAAGAAACUUAAUGUGCAUAACCAGAUGGCAGUAAACAAAUAUACAGACGGAAUCAAAUGCAGAAUCAGGAGCAUACGAAUUGCAGGUUUAAAACCAUAACUGGCAUAAAAUCACAGCAUCUAGUCACUGGAGAUAACUCCUACAAGGUAAUACAACGUAGAGUGCAGGUGCAUCAAAACGAAGCUCUGCACCAUUAAGGAACUCAAAUACUACUAGAACAUUGGUCCUACAACAGUCACAUAGUUAAUCAUUUUUAUCUAACACAUUAAGAUAAAGCCAAUUGCACUAAAAAAAAAAAAAACCAAGAAGGUCACAAGAUCAUUAAACUAUCGGUAAAUCGCACAAAAACUCAAAGCAAAUCACUCUAACCCAACAAGAAAAAAAGAACAAAAAAAAGAAGUAAAUUUGCAUUUGCUGGUGAAGUAAAUGUUCUUACUCACCUCAUUUUCAAGCUUGCUAAGCUUGUCGCAAACCGCUUCCUUAUCCAACUCCGCAUACUUUUCAGCAGCCAAACUGUCGGGAGUAGAUUCAAUAAAAAGCAACCCUUUGUCCUUCCCAACAGUAGUCUCCCCAUUUCUAGGGCUGGAAUUGCCCGGUGCAGAACCAGACGCAAUUGCCGACCCAUUCUGUUCCCUCCUCGGAUUGAGCGACCACCCUGACCAUGGCUUCCUCUGCGGCGUAAACAUCGCUUAAAUUUCCGAAAUUGAUCCUCUGGAAUUCCUCAAACUCCAGAUCGCGGAAUUCAGGAACAACUUCAUAAGAAGAACAAAGUCUGAGUUUUUACAGUAAAUUCGACAGUCUGUUAGUAUCAGCAAGGAUGAAAGGGAAAGGAAAAACCCUUAAAUUGUGAAGUAAACAACACAAAAAACCCUAGCCGGACGUGAACAGAGUUCCCAAACUCCGGCCAAUAUGAAAGGGGUGAAACCCGAUAACGUCUCAAAACCAACUUCCACUCUUACUUUCUCUCUCUAUCCCUCCGCCUUUUUUUCCAGAGCCACCUUUGUGGUGUGCGCGGAUGCCUCACGUUCUUUCCCUUUUUUAUUUUUGCUUUGUUUUUUAAGUCCUCUUGAUGGCCCGACAGCAACUCCGAUAUGUGAAUUUACCUCCGCUCUCCUCAUUUUAUGCGGUCUUUUAUCCGUUAAUCAGGGAUAUUUUUGGGAAUUCGCUCGGCCGCCUUUCGGUUACAACGUGGGUUCCGACAGUUUCCUCGUAUAGUGACGAAAGGGUCCCCGGAUUGUUCAAGUCACUACUGAAACGGGGGAUGGUAAAUUUGGGGAACUGCGGGGAUGAGAUGGUCAUUGAAGGAAAAGGAAUAUACUGAAUUGAAAUGCCAAGGUGUUGAUGUGCUGGUUGGAUCAGGUCAGGAGCUUUGGGAAUGAGGCGCCUGGCUUACGCUGCAGAAAAGCAAAAGCGGGGAUAAGUACCUCAUUCUUUCUUUCUUCUUACAAGUAAUCGGUAAUCUAAUCUCCUGUGUCCCAUGUGGCUUCAAUGGGGGUUCGUGAUGGGGCCGGGCUGGGCUGGGCUGGGAACUUCCUGUUUUUCUCUAUGCUCAUUUCUUUCUCUUCUUUAUUUAUUUUUUUUUUUGUCUGUAAGCCCCUUUGCUCAUUUCUUGUUUCUGUCUUUUUUUUUUUUAAGGUUGUUACUGUCUUUUUCAUUAAUAAGACUUUAAAUGAGUCAUAUCUUUUAUGGCUUGGGGAUCAAGGAAUAAUUAAAUAAUGAAUUCUAGUCGAAAUCAGCAAAAUAAAUUAUUGUGAAGCAAGUACCAAUUAUGUCUGUUCUAUGAUAACUCAGUUGUAAUGAAUUGUGAUUAGAUUGGACCAUCGGAAGUGUUAAUUUAUUAACUCUACAUUUGAAGAAGUUUGAGCAUAGAAGAGUUCCCUCUUUUUUUUUUAGUUGGAACAGAUUAUGAGCUGUCACCCAUAAAGGGUGACUAACAUUAACUCCAACUUAAAUAGAUCGAGGCCUCCUUUUAAUCAAAUUAAGUUUAUUUUUAUCAAAAAAAAAAUUAACACAUGAGAUGAGAUUCCUCUUAAUGAUCUCCAAUACAAUAUCAUUUUAUUAAACUCUUAAUUAGAUAUAUAACCAAGUGCAAUAUGCACCACAUCAUAAAAACGAGGCUAAGAAGUCUUGAUGACCCUUGAACUUUUAGUGCGUAAAGUUUUAGCUCUUGAACAAUAAUUAUGAAAUUUUUGACCUAUGAUCUAUCAAAUGUGCAAACCAUUGAUCCCUCAAAUUUCAACUGUUAUCUUUGACGAAAACACUAUCAAGUGCGAUGGACGAGGAAAAUCAAGAACAAUAUAAUAUAUCUCUCUCUCUAUCUCUCUUUUCCAACUCUCUUUCUGAGUUGAAUCUCGAAAUGAAACCUAACAAAUAGAGGAGUUGGAGGAAAUUUUUGCAAAAACCAGAAAGCUGCUGUUUAAAUUAGCCCACAUGGGCUUCCAUGUCCAGCCCACCCAAGCCUUAACCAAAACCGCAAUCCAAAGAGGAGCAGUGAACAUUAUCAACCAACACAAGUUGGUUCAGUUGGCAAGAAUAAGUUACUUCUUUAUAAAAUAUCAUGUGUUCGAAUUCCGCUGCUGAUGUGAGAACUGUGUUGAUGGACGAUCUAUAAGUACCUCUAUAAGUGACUUAUGGUCCUAGAGGCCGAGUCAGUGACCGGAGUUGAAUCUACCCUUUUUUUUAACAAAAAAAAAAAAAGCAAACAUCAUCAACUUCGUUAUGGCAUCCUAGAUAGAGGAAACCCUUGAAAUAUCUCCAACAAAGCAAUAUGUACCAAAACCAUCCUGUAAUGUUUUAAUGAUACCACAGAUAAUUCAUUCCCUUAAAUCAAGAACUAAAGAAUUCUUCCAGAAACAUCUAAAUUAAAAGAUCUUAUCCUUGAAAAGAAAAAAAAAUCUAGAUAAAAUUGCAGAAGGUGUAGCCUUUAAGCACAACAACGAGUUAAGGGUUUUACAAAAAGAGAAAGACAAAAAAAAAAGAUAAAAGAUAACAAAAAUUUUAGAAAACAGAGGAAGAAAAAAAUAUGAAAAGAAGAGUGAGUGAGAGAGCGUCAAGACAAAAUGUCUCUCAUUGGCCCUUGAUUUUAUGUUGUCAUGUCGCAUUUGAUGGUGUUUCCGUCAAACAUGACUGUUCAAAUCAACAGAAGGAUCAACGAUUUUCACUUUUGAUAUAUUGAGAAUCAAAAGUUUCAUAAUAAUUAUUGGAGGGUUAAAACUUUAUGCAACUAAAAGUUUAAGGGUUAGCGAGACUUUUUGCCCUAAAAACUAACAAUUGAGCACCCUAAGGGAUUGUCCAUUGAAUAUACAAACCACUAAUUAAUUGCCCCUAAUAAUGUUACUUCUCUAACCAACUCCGAGUUGCUCACUAGGUGAAAUAUAAAGUACAAGUGAAAUACAAAGGAUAUGCAUCACCCGUUCGGUCUAAAUAGGAUUCUCUCCCUUCAGCCCUUUUUGAUCCAAUUAGGCCCUUUUUAGUAUAGGAUAAAUUAGGAGUAGGAGUUGCUGAUUGACCCCAAAUACAUAAUAUAUACAUAUAUAUAUGUAUAUAUAUAUAUCACUUUUCUAAAAGGGUAACACUCCAAAUGGGCUGAUUUCAUAGGUAAAGGAUUACAUGCACAAUCCACUGUGGCGUGGGGUUGGGAUGUCAUUGGGCUGACUUCACGAAAGCCCGAUAUGCAUGUCCAUGUGCAAUGGCCCAGACGACCGACAACGCAUAGGAUUAAACUCAGCCGACGUUGAGCAGGGUUAAGAGCUUACGACAAGAGACGUAAGGUAGAGUGGACUUUUUUUGGAGUCCAGCGUGGCACAUGAAAGUCUAAAACUGAUGCUUCCUCGUUGCUACUAUGAAGAACAAAAGACUCUUGGAAAUCCAGAGAGAGACGUGGUGACCACAUCCUGUAUAUUCUUUUCUUCAAUAGAAGAUCAGUUCUCGUGAAAAAUUUGUUGUCCUACUAAUUCUCAGAGCUUUUUUGCUUUUUUUUUUUGUGAAAACCCUAGUCUCUGUAAAAAUCUGCAAUAGGCAACAGAAAAUUCAUAUUCAACUCUUUAGUUUAAUACGGGAAAAUGGCGGUACCGGUUGUGAGAUUUCCGAUAUACGGAGUGGUGAGGAUACUGGGGAUAGCAGUGACAGUAACAGUGCUAACGUGGACGGUUCAUUACAGAGGAGGAUUGGCCCUCGUCUCCACCAAUAAAGACCUCAUCUUUAAUGUAAUUACUAUUCCACUUCUAUCUAUUGUUUUUUCCUUUUCCUUUUCCUUUUAUGGGGAAUUCCCGAAAAUUUCAAUUAUUUCUUUCUUCCAAUUAUCGACUUAUUUGCCACCUGCAUUCUAUGAAUCAAGCACCGGUGGAUCCUUUUAUUGUUUCUUUUGGGCUUUGAGGGGUUUUAGCAUUGAGUUUUGUCCUCUAUGGAUUGUUCCGGAUUGUUUAUUGAAUUUUGGUUUUUCAUGUUUUGUUCAGGUUCAUCCAGUUUUGAUGGUGAUUGGCCUGGUACUUCUAAAUGGUGAAGGUGAGAAUCUUCGUUUGAGUACUGAACUAAGGAGUAAUCGACCUCUCCCAUAUUAAUCCUAUCCUGAUUUGUUCAUUAUUGAUUCAUUUCAUUCAUCAUGUAUUCAGGAGCACGCAUCUGUAUUGCUUUCUGAUAUCUUCGUAAGUAAUUGGUUUCUUGAGGUUUAGUUUUCAUCAUUUGUGGAGGCCUAUUAGCUGUCAGAUCAACACCUUAAAUCGAAAGGCUAAUGUUUAAUUUUAUUGAAUCUUCAAUCUAAGAAAAAUUUGGUAACUGGUAAUCACAUUAAUCCUGAACACGUCUAAUUUGUUGCAAUGUUGGAGGCUGCCUAAUGCCUAGACUUACGGCUGGUUGAUUUGCAUUUCUAUUUCUUAAGUUUGUUGAGUCAUUCACCGAUAUUACAGUCUCCCAGCUAAAAGAUGAAGUCCAGAUAGCAUUUGUAGUCGAGGCCUGAUAAGGAAUGUGCUGUAUCUGUGGUGAUAUCCGGGCUACAAGUUGGCACCUGGAUGACUUGCAUUGUCAUUUCCCAAUGGGUCAUUUUUGGGAGUUAAGUUAUGAACCCCAAAUAGGUGUCGUAGAACAGGCUUGGUACGCAAUGUACAUCAUCAAAAGCCUAAUUUGGACACCCAUACCAUGUCUUUUGCUAAUCUCUGUCAAUCUGCAUCAAAUUCUGUUUUUCUAGUUUUAAUGUUUGUGUUUUUCAUAUGGAUAACUAACUUCCUGAACCAUUAAGGCAAUCUUUUCCGUGAUAAGUAAUAGUUUUUCUCAGAAGUUUCAGAAAUUUACACGCAGCUAUAUCAUCAAGUUAUUAAAGAAACUGCUAAGAACUUUAUAAGAACUAUUCCCAGUUUGUCAGAUAUCUAUAUUUAUGUCAGUUGUCAUGAAUAUUCUCGAGGCUUGUCUGUUAAUCUGGUGAUGGAUAUCGCUUUUUCAAAUGUGUUGGCUUGUAAUACUUCUUAAUGUAGUCUACGUAGCUGAUGUUGUCAGAAAUGUGGUUUUUAAUUACUUUGUCAAUUCUUGCAGCUAUGCUGGCAUACAAGACAGUCCCCGGAACAAAAAGCUUCAAAAAAUUAGUUCACCUCCUCCUGCAAUUCUUGGCCCUCUCUUUUAGUGUAAUUGGCUUAUGGGCUGCAUGGAAGUUUCACAAUGACAAAGGAAUCGACAACUUCUACAGUCUUCACUCGUGGCUGGGUUUAGCUUGCCUUUUCUUGUUUGCCAUUCAGGUGCUUCUAGGAGCUUUUUGUUUUGCCUUCCCAUUCACCCACCCUCUCACCCCCCAACCCAAGUCCACAUCUGUUUCCUCCUUUAUGUUCUCCUAAAAUUUGCACCAUGAUUGUUGAUGGAUUAGUAUUUCAUGACCGCAUAUUAAAUUAUUACGUUCUGUAGUGCAGUGGGCUGCUGGAUUUGUAACGUUUUGGUAUCCAGGUGGUUCAAGGAACAGCAGAGCUAGUCUGCUGCCAUGGCACGUGUUCUUUGGCGUCUAUAUAUAUGCGCUUGCUAUUGCCACUUGCACUACUGGUAUUCUAGAGAAGGCUACAUUUCUUCAAACCAACCAGAUCAUGUCACGCUACUCCAAAGAGGCAUUGUUGGUAAACUCUUUAGGGAUCUUGAUUGUUGCUUUGGGUGGUUUUGUAAUUCUUGCUGUCAUCUCACCUGCUAACGGUAAAAGUGAUGUUACAAAAAGCACAGUGGAGUAAGCAUUGACUGGAAUGCUUUUGAAACCUUUUGAGGUUUAACCUGCUUCAUGCCUUUGGGGUGAAUUUGUAAAGAAUAGAAAGUUUUCAGGGUUGAUAUUGCAAUAAACAUUUCAUCGGCUGCCAAGCCGAUGGUAUUAAAUACAGGAUUGAGUUCUGCCAAGCCAUGUACUCACUGCACUGAGAUUCCAGCAAGCUUCACGCCUCCGCAUUCCGCACCCUUUCUUUGCCCGUAUCAGGCAGGUGUACCUUCAUGCAUGACCUUCGACACAAGUGCACCUGGUUUCCUUGCCUCUACUUCUACGGUUUCCAGCGUCCAUUUUUUGCCUUAAAGAGGUACCAAACUUGUCAUGGGAUUUGACUUUUUUGACAGGGCAAUUGCAUGGUUCAAAAUUGAUAUAUUAUUGAAAAAUAGCUGCAGCAUCCUCUUUAUUUUUUUGAUGAUAUUACUAAUUUUUUGAUAGUUCCAAAUUCAAGAUAGAUCGAAAAAUGUAGUGUAUUUUUUUCAUCGGAACAAUAUAUUAAAUCGUCCACUCCUUUUUGUGCUUGAUGAAACUUUGUAAGUAUGCUCCGGCGAUUUUUUUAUUUUUUCAAAAAAAACUCUCGUACAUUUUAAAACACCAAAAAUAGGCAGGAUGUUGCAGUCUUUCCGUGGUUAAACUCAGCGACGUAUCUCAAAUCUACAAAAAAGUGAGGUGCCCCGGAAAUAGUCUAGCGGCGGAUAGAAUGUUAAACUAACGACUUUAUGGAGAGCAAAAAUUGCAAAUUUCCUUAAGAGGGCUAGAAAGCUCAUAACAACGUACAUAUUUUCCUAAAACUGCUCGGAGAGGCGGACGAAACGCACUCUUCACAGAGUCAGGUGAAAAUAGAAUCAAACCAAAAACAUAACGUACAUGGAAAAGACAACUCAUUAUUCCAAAAAAGAAAUCAAGGAGAAACUAAUUUGAAGUUGCUGAAGAUUGUCAAUAUCUCUCUGUCAUCCUCAAGAACCACCACUGAAGCUUCAAAUAAAUGUAUAGUAGGUGUUAUAUUCCGCUAUGUCCAUAGAUGUUCUCUGCGGUAUUCUCGAACAAUGACAGGUACGCUAGUGGGAGGUAUCUGGAAAUGUUUAAAGAUUACGGUUAGCAAAUUAAGGCAAAACGCCAUUUGGUGCAAACAUGCACAAUGCCACUAAGAUGAGGAUAUAGAGAGCGGAGGGAAGGGGGGCAUCAAGGAAAAAACACCAGGAUAUGCCCACGUAAGGACACAGGACAAGAUAAUAAAGGAAACGGGGCCAGAGUAGACUUCCUUGACUGCAUACACAAACAUUGUGGUGCAGCACAUGGUUCUCAAUUGAGUUAUUGCAAGCAUGUACCCCAGUCAUAUUAUAAGCAAUCAGGGAAGAUAACAAGUACUCUUUUCUUUCUAGUAAAUCUAUUAUAAAACUUACUAACACUUACCAUACCAUAAUCUGUGAUGAUCAUCGAAACAUAAUCUGAUGGUGUUGCAUCAUAACUGUUACAAUAAAAUUAAACAAUGAGCAUACAUAGGUUAUGGAUAUGGUACCCGAAAUCCAUGCGAUAACCACACACACACGCACCCCACCCCACCCCCCCCAAAAAAAAGAACCCUCACUUACAUGAGGUUCAAAAGCUGCAAAUUAUCACUAUUGGCCCAAUCAUCCAAAGAGUCAAUUUCUUUCCUACCAGGAACCUUUGCAAUCAUGUCUGGAUCACCUGCAGUGUUAUAAGGGCAGCUGAAUAGUAAGAAAAAUGAUGACACACAGCCAUAUUACAUUUUAAACGGAUUCCAUAUGAUUUGCAAAAGUAAAUGCAUACCAAGUUCAUUAGAGCAAAUUGAAUCGAGCUGCACCCUUUCAUGAAACUUAUAGGCUUCACAACAUAUAAGUACUGGAACUCGGAACUGGUGAGCAACCAUUGCAACACAAGCAGUGCCAACCCUCGAGUAAACCGUUCCAUUAGACAAUACUGAGGAAGCACCCAAAAAUACUCGAGUAACUUCAUGCAUUAUAUAAGAAACAGCAUUUAUGUGAGUGUAUGUACAGCUAAUACCCUUUCCUACCAAUCUGCGAAGUAACAGCUUCCCUUCAAGCUUUGGACGUGAAUCGACUACCACAACACGGAAAUUUUUGCCAAGCUCAUGGGCGUGUAUCAACAACAACUCAACAGCAGAGGAUGAUCCAUAUGUGAGAAGAACAUCGCCAUCCCUAAUCUUUGUUACAGCAUGUCUGACUAUUACCUUAUCAGCUAGAAUUAUCUUCUCAUUGAUAAAUCGAUCAAUAUCUGACAAAAGAAUUGCUUUUGCCUCUGAUUCAGACAAGGCCAAAGAUAAUUUGGCAAUUUUUGAUUUAAGAAAUCUAAUAGCAUUGCCCAUACUGAUUGAAAGGGGUCUGCACUCAAUCAGAAAAGAUACAUAAGAAUUUAUUUUCGAAGUCAAGUCCCUAAUAAGAGCUUUUUCAGGCGGUGUUGAGUAGUCUUUAAUUGACUCUUGAAAUGCUUGAAGCAUAGCAAUACAGCGCGCAUUGCCACCAGAUAUAUCACCAGCUAGAUACCUCAGACCAACCUGAUUAUAGGUACAUAAAUCACAACUAGUGUCAGGUCAAGAUCCCAACGAAAAUAGGAAAAAGAAAAUUUGAAAAUUGUAUUACACAUCAGAGUUGAUAACAGUUGCUGCCUCUCUAAUGGACCACAUCAGAUUAAAAUGUGAAUAUUUAGCCAAAAACUUUCAAACAUAAAUAUUUCCACACCCCACCCCCCCCCCCCAAAAAAAAAAAAAAAAAAAUAAACUUCAUGGUAUUAGUAUCCACAAAAGAUAAGUUCUUUAGCCUCACCUUAUAAACAGCAGGAUGAACAGGAUCUAGUUGAAACAGCUUCGAUUCAAGUUCAGGGAGCCUUGUUCCAUGUUCAUACUGAGGUAAAUGCCUAAACAGUUCAACCCUGUUCUUUGCUUCGGUCUGCUUAACAACAGAUCGUUUCUUUGCCUUCUCAACUCGGCUCUUAUCAUCAAACUGCAUACGGGGGUGAGGGACAUCCUUCUUCCUGUCUUUGUCUUGUGGACGAUCACUGCCUCUUUUUUCAGAAGCUGCAACAGGAGAGUUAUCCUUCUUCUGUGGAGAAGCCUUUGCAGCCUUCCCUGGGUUUGCAUUUGCUGAAGAACCCAAACCAGAUGAAGCAGCUGGUGUCUUACUACCAUCACCUGCCCAAUAAUUACCAAAAAAAAAAAAUUAUGCAAUUGCCUUCACGGAGCACAAAGGCAAUGUAUAUACCAAGAAAAGGAUGAUUUUAUUAUACUUGAACACAACAAUGGCCCAAAAAUACUAUGCUAUGAUGAGCAGUGAUAUUGGUUUGGACAAUAUAAAGCUGAUACUAAUGACAGUUUAUAAGAUCACCUCGAAAAAUUAAGCACACAAUGACAGCUAUUGAGUACUUGAGUCACUAAUUAAUGAAUAAAUGUCUCAUCACUGGUGUCAAUAAGAAUUCUAUCAGAGUACAACAACAGAAUUCAUUAAAGUUCUCAGGUGGAGGGGAAGCUACUUCCCGAAACAACAGUCAAGGUUCUAUUUAGCUUGGAAAAAAAAAAAAGAAGCUCUUUUUAGCUUGGAAAAAAAAAAGAAGCUCAGUAUCAUUAGCUUAGUAAAGGCACACUCUUUGAAUUAACCAGGAAACUGCAUUAGAAAAUGUACUUUCCAAAGAAAGUUAAGAGAUCGAAAAAGCACUCUACGAUCCUCGAUAUAGAAGAAAGAGUUCGGGAAUUACUAAAUAUGGGACUAUCGAAAUGCAUUCACUCGUGUACACGGAAACCUUUGACAGGACUCGGAAGAAAAAAAUCAAACUGGAACUUGAUAUGACCUUUAGUUGCAGCCUUUGCUGCUCGUUGAGCUUCUUGAAUUGCACGCCUUUCUGCUUUUGUGGUCUGCUCUUUCAGUGGCUUCAAACUGGCCUUGGAUCCCGUCUUCGAUCGCUCCUUCUGCACUUCAACACCAGCUCCGCCAUCUUUUUCUAUAUUUCGUCCAAAAAAAAAUUAUAGCAUCAACCACCCACGGAAAAAGAUAAGGCAAGGCCAUAGAUGCCCAAAAACCGUGCCGAAGCUUGAAGAAUAAUGGUGAAAUCCAGUAUAUCAAUGGGAGGAGAAGAUGAGAAAAUAUUUGCAAGGAUAGAGGAGAUAAUUUACCUGUUAUGCCAGGGGGCAUGUUGACAAUGGAGACGGUGGUUAAACUACUAGCCGGGAAAUUAUUCUGCUUAAGGGAUGACAUAUCAAAUCCACCAGCUGGCAGGGAGGAAGCAAAUUUACCAGAAUUGCUCCGGCGAGCAGUCCAAUUAGGGGAGAGAGCAUCGUCAGUGAACUCUGAGGCCGUGGGAGCGACAAACUCGGAGGGAUUGUAGCUGCCGACGGGGAUAGAGUCGCGGGCGGCCCGCAUAGGGGAGAGCGGGGCAGCAGGAGAGAAAUGGGGCCCGCGAGCAAGGUCGGCGGAAAGGUGACGCGGCGGAGGAAUCAUCACCGGGGACAGAGAGUUGCCGGAGGGGGAGAUUUCAGAGACAGGAGGGGAGGAGGAGGCCGGAUGGGGUGGACCAGAUUGGGACCGGUCGGGUGGUGCCCCGGGCGCGAAAAACCCGACUUGUCUGACCUUGGGGUCGCUCACGGCCCGCGGGACUCGGCGAGUUUCCAUCUCUGCGGUUUAGGGUUUUGCUAUUACUGCGUAGGAGCUGGACAUCUAAGGUUUAGGUCAGUGGAGGUGGAGGAAGUGGCAGAGUGGCUUUUCAGGUGGAAGGAACAUUUAGAGGAGAUUGCUAUGCUUUUUUGGAUCAGGAUGACAAGUAGCAGUUGAUUACUCAAAGUUAGGAAUUGGGACUUGGGAGGAAGAAAAGUGAACUGUAAAUUAAAAAAAAAAAUUCAAUGGUGAUGAGUGAUUCACUUAUUCAUGACUUGAACAACGCCUGGUUUGAGAGUUUUUGUAAUUUACUUCUUAAAAUUUAACAGGAGAACGGUGGAAUUUAAAAGGCGAAGGAAAAUAUGAAUCCAAAAUUUUUUAAGUUCAGAUGUUUGGUAAGCAAGCACACAGAGGCGCAUCCGGACAUAAAAAAAAUGAAGAAGAAAAGAGACAACAGUCAAUAUUUACGAUUGAUGAUCGCUUUUGAGAUUCUAGCAGUUGCAGAGUGGGUCGGAUUGCAAAUUUUAAAAGACUUCCUAUCACUUUCUCGUCGCAUUUGCGUUUGCGAGGGGAAAAGAGAACAUGGUUUCUUUUUCUUUUUCUGACUUUGAGUUGAGAGACUCGCGAACAAGGCUGCUGCAAGUGUCCAAUCCAAUCCAAUGCUGGUACUGAUUUUUUUUUUUUUUUUUUUCCAAUCACCAUCCAAACUAGGUCUGGGAGAUUACCAUGACCCAGAGAGACCUCAGCAAUAAGGAAAGCCAUAACUUAGGACCGAAUUGUUCAUCAUUGCAACGUCGAAUAUGUUAAAAAUUCCACGGACUAGCGUACAAGCAAGCCAUGACAUGAAAAGAAAGCAGCAGCUUCACUACAUGAAUAAUAGUAGUACAGAAAUCAACAAUCGUCUUCCAAUAAUUCCAGCUAACUGUUUCAUGUGAAACUGCGGCAGACUGGUCCCUUGGAAAUUCCAAGACGCACUUCCAU